Molecule: ribosomal RNA, 443 nt
Filed under: uncultured bacterium
Lineage: Bacteria
Description: partial 16S ribosomal RNA
Rfam family: Bacterial small subunit ribosomal RNA
Source: RNAcentral
CCUACGGGAGGCAGCAGUGGGGAAUAUUGGGCAAUGGGCGCAAGCCUGACCCAGCAACGCCGCGUGAAGGAAGAAGGCCCUCGGGUUGUAAACUUCUUUUGUCAGGGACGAAGGAAGUGACGGUACCUGACGAAUAAGCCACGGCUAACUACGUGCCAGCAGCCGCGGUAAUACGUAGGUGGCAAGCGUUAUCCGGAUUUACUGGGUGUAAAGGGAGUGUAGGCGGGACUGCAAGUCAGAUGUGAAAUUCCAGGGCUCAACCCUGGGACUGCAUUUGAAACUGUAGUUCUUGAGUGCUGGAGAGGCAGGCGGAAUUCCGUGUGUAGCGGUGAAAUGCGUAGAUAUACGGAGGAACACCAGUGGCGAAGGCGGCCUGCUGGACAUUAACUGACGCUGAGGCGCGAAAGCGUGGGGAGCAAACAGGAUUAGAUACCCCAGUAGUC